GUAGGUGAACCUGCGGAAGGAUCAUUAACACGUUCCAAACGUUUAAUACACCCCUCUGUGAACUAAAAGUCCGGCGCAAGUCGGCCCUUUUAACCAAAAAUCCUGGCUGGUGUGGCAACACAACGUCUAGGUCGCUGAAAGGCUUUGCGAAAGCGGGUCCCUCUGCGUGUCUCUCACGAGAUGCGUAGACAGCGUCAAACCCAACCAAACCCUUGAACCUAACUAUCUGAAACCUCUAACUACGACACGC
This 250-nucleotide unclassified non-coding RNA is filed under the name plant metagenome. RNAcentral describes it as "partial contains small subunit ribosomal RNA, internal transcribed spacer 1, and 5.8S ribosomal RNA". The record is from RNAcentral.